GGGUAGGAUAAUGAGUUGAGUUGACAUACUAACCAGCCAGUGACUUUGUGGCCAGUUUGAACAUGGAUUCUUGAGUUAUUAUGAGCACCUAAACACAUGAUAAAGUGUUUCUGUUAAGACUCGUUUUGGUGUAUGUUCACUAACAUCUAUUAGAUUAAAAUAUGUCACCUUCUUUGAUUAUACACAUCAACUUCAAUUGGAACAUGUCUGAGGUUUUACGACUUAUUGAAGAGAGCCAAGAUUUAGUUUUUGAUUAUACACGUCAACUUCAAUUGGAACAGGUCUGAGGUUUUACGACUUAUUGAGGAGAGCUAAGAUUUAUUUUUUCAUUAUACACAUCAACUUCAAUUGGAACACGUCUGAGGUUUUACGACUUAUUGAGGAGAGCCAAGAGUUAUUUUAGCUAUCACUUGGUCAUCCCUUAAGAAUAAGAAACAAAAGGUUUGGUGAGAUUUGCAAACAUUAACAUAUGACAAAUGGCAAUAGGAGAUACAAAAUUACAUA
Molecule: long non-coding RNA, 504 nt
Filed under: Solanum tuberosum (potato)
Lineage: Eukaryota; Viridiplantae; Streptophyta; Magnoliopsida; Solanales; Solanaceae
Description: long non-coding RNA (STUB_LNC011900)
Source: RNAcentral